GACGAACGCUGGCGGCGUGCCUAAUACAUGCAAGUCGAACGAAGCUGUUUUAACUGGUGCUUGCACCGACUUAAACAACUGAGUGGCGAACGGGUGAGUAACACGUGGGUAACCUGCCCCAAAGCGGGGGAUAACAUUUGGAAACAGAUGCUAAUACCGCAUAACCACAGAAACCACAUGGUUUCUGUGUCAAAGAUGGUUUCGGCUAUCACUUUGGGAUGGAGCCGCGGCGUAUUAGCUAGUUGGUAAGGUAAUGGCUUCCCAAGGCAAUGAUACGUAGCCGAACUGAGAGGUUGAUCGGCCACAUUGGGACUGAGACACGGCCCAAACUCCUACGGGAGGCAGCAGUAGGGAAUCUUCCACAAUGGACGAAAGUCUGAUGGAGCAACGCCGCGUGAGUGAAGAAGGUUUUCGGAUCGUAAAACUCUGUUGUCAGAGAAGAACGUGUGCGAGAGUAACUGCUCGUGCAGUGACGGUAUCUGGCCAGAAAGCCACGGCUAACUACGUGCCAGCAGCCGCAGUAA
Molecule: ribosomal RNA, 524 nt
Filed under: uncultured bacterium
Lineage: Bacteria
Description: partial 16S ribosomal RNA
Rfam family: Bacterial small subunit ribosomal RNA
Source: RNAcentral